Molecule: ribosomal RNA, 279 nt
Filed under: uncultured bacterium
Lineage: Bacteria
Description: partial 16S ribosomal RNA
Rfam family: Bacterial small subunit ribosomal RNA
Source: RNAcentral
UGCCAGCAGCCGCGGUAAUACGGAGGGGGCUAGCGUUGUUCGGAAUUACUGGGCGUAAAGCGCACGUAGGCGGUGUAACAAGUUAGAGGUGAAAGGCCUGGGCUCAACCUGGGAACUGCCUUUGAUACUGUUACACUAGAGUCCGGGAGAGGGUAGCGGAAUUCCAAGUGUAGAGGUGAAAUUCGUAGAUAUUUGGAAGAACACCGGUGGCGAAGGCGGCUACCUGGACCGGCACUGACGCUGAGGUGCGAAAGCGUGGGGAGCGAACAGGAUUAGAUA